GGACUACCAGGGUAUCUAAUCCCGUUCGCUCCCCUAGCUUUCGUCCAUGAGCGUCAGAAGUUCCCCAGGACACUGCCUUCGCCUUUGGUGUUCCUCCGGAUCUCUACGCAUUUCACCACUCCACCCGGAAUUCCGUGUCCCUCUGAAACCCUCAAGUUCUCCAGUUUGGCACCGCCUUGCUCAGUUAAGCCGAGCACUGUCAGGGGCCACCCAAAGAACCGCCUGCGGACGCUUUACGCCCAGUAACUCCGGACAACGCUCGCCCCCUACGUAUUACCGCGGCUGCUGGCAC
Molecule: ribosomal RNA, 292 nt
Filed under: uncultured bacterium
Lineage: Bacteria
Description: partial 16S ribosomal RNA
Source: RNAcentral